This 497-nucleotide ribosomal RNA is filed under the name uncultured bacterium. RNAcentral's name for it is "partial 16S ribosomal RNA". It matches the Rfam family "Bacterial small subunit ribosomal RNA", at positions 28 to 507 of the family's 1533-position model. The record is from RNAcentral.
GACGAACGCUGGCGGCGUGCCUAAUACAUGCGAGUUGAGCGAUGAAGCUUGGUGCUUGCACCAAUUUGAAGAGCAGCGAACGGGUGAGUAACGCGUGGGGAAUCUGCCUUUGAGCGGGGGACAACAUUUGGAAACGAAUGCUAAUACCGCAUAACAACUUUAAACAUAAGUUUUAAGUUUGAAAGAUGCAAUUGCAUCACUCAAAGAUGAUCCCGCGUUGUAUUAGCUAGUUGGUGAGGUAAAGGCUCACCAAGGCGAUGAUACAUAGCCGACCUGAGAGGGUGAUCGGCCACAUUGGGACUGAGACACGGCCCAAACUCCUACGGGAGGCAGCAGUAGGGAAUCUUCGGCAAUGGACGAAAGUCUGGCCGAGCAACGCCGCGUGAGUGAAGAAGGUUUUCGGAUCGUAAAACUCUGUUGGUAGAGAAGAACGUUGGUGAGAGUGGAAAGCUCAUCAAGUGACGGUAACUACCCAGAAAGGGACGGCUAACUACGUG